This 504-nucleotide ribosomal RNA is filed under the name uncultured bacterium. RNAcentral's name for it is "bacterial SSU rRNA". It matches the Rfam family "Bacterial small subunit ribosomal RNA", at positions 19 to 518 of the family's 1533-position model. The record is from RNAcentral.
CUGGCUCAGGAUGAACGCUAGCGACAGGCCUAACACAUGCAAGUCGAGGGGCAGCACAAGGAGCAAUCUGAGGUGGCGACCGGCGCACGGGUGAGUAACACGUAUGCAACCUGCCUGUAAGCGGGGAAUAACCCGUUGAAAGACGGACUAAUACCGCAUAAUACUAAAUUACUGCAUGGUAAUUUAUUUAAACAUUUAUGGCUUACAGAUGGGCAUGCGCAUGAUUAGCUAGUUGGAGAGGUAACGGCUCCCCAAGGCAACGAUCAUUAGGGGUUCUGAGAGGAAGGUCCCCCACACUGGUACUGAGACACGGACCAGACUCCUACGGGAGGCAGCAGUGAGGAAUAUUGGUCAAUGGACGAGAGUCUGAACCAGCCAAGUCGCGUGCAGGAAGAAUGUCCUAUGGAUUGUAAACUGCUUUUGCAGGGGAAUAAAGUGCAUCACGUGUGAUGUUUUGUAUGUACUCUGCGAAUAAGGAUCGGCUAACUCCGUGCCAGCCGCGGC